GCGUUUCUUCUUCACUUUUAACACGAAUCUUCUUGACAUGUAACGCCGAUUUACAGCGAUGUUCUUCUUCCUCUUCUUUUUAGGGCAAAAUCGAAUGGCGCGGCAGAGUCCAAUUUCAAAGAAACGCAGUUUCGUCCGUUUCGAAGCAGAUUCGCUACGUUUUACGAUACAAAACGCUAAUUUACAAAGUCAAUCGACUUUCGUAGGCUUCGCGUGCUAUUUUUAAUUUCCGCGUGUAUUUGCUAUUUGUCGUCCGGAUUGCCGUUUGAAGCGGCGUUACAGCGUAAUAACAGAGCCGGUUUGUUGAACAAAGCACAGCGGCAAUAAAGUGGCGAAUGGAAUUUUUCGCUCGCCUCGUCUUGCCGGCUGCUUACUCAUUUUAAUUUUCCCUGGCUUAAUUUCGCCCAGCACUCUACCGGCACUUAAUUUAAUACAACUAUCUCACGCAGACUUUUUACCAUGCGCUUCCUUCAUUCUCUCAGAGACGGAACAAAGCUUGUUCUUCCGUAGAAAUUUUACGUCUCAAACAGGUCAACCGUUAAGUUUCGUGGUUAAAAUGUUAUUACGUUAGGUGUUCAAAUUUUAAAGAUAUUUUUGAGUUUUGAAGAUAUAAUCAGCAAGAUGUAAUUAUUACGAUGUAAUUAAGCAAAUAGUUUAACACUUUGAAUGCCACGCGGCAAUCACAUGUUUCGAUCGGGACGCCACGGGAGUAUUUUUAUUAUUCAAAGUAUAUAAUGGUAAAAUAAUAAUAAAUUGAUGAUGUAAGACAACAUUCUUUCCCAAUGGACCGUUUAUCUUAUUGGUGGUCACGUGACGCCUGUGUAACGUAGCGGUCACGUGGUGGUCACGUGGUAACAGUUGAUAGCGACAUAUUGUAACAAGGUUUCGUUUAUUUCAACAAACCAUUCGCUUCCGUUAUUUCGUCGUAAACAAAACGUGCAGAAUAUAUUGUUGAAUAUAUUGUAGAAGAUAUUAGUAAACAGUAUUUGCUCAUUCUACAUAUAAUAGUAAGCUGUGUGUUACAACCGUCAGCGAGCGAGCGAAAACGCGUCAGCGAAAGGCGUAAAUUCUCGCUACGAUUCUGAUAAUCGACGCCCCGAAUCAGUCGUUCCCCUGUUUCGAUUAGGAUAACAGAGGAGACGACCCCCACCACGCUCGGGUCUCGCAACUGUUCGCGCCUAUGGUCACGUAUGCCACCUUUUUUGUGUAAAUAAAAUAACGGACCGAAGGCGAAUCUAUGUUUCUAGAACUCGCUGCUUGACGACAACUAUGCGUUUAUCCCUACUUUGUGUAUUCUCGACGGUCGUGUAAGACGAUCUGUCUGCGACGCUGUAGUACCAAGGGAGACGGUUAGGAACACGGACUAUAGUGAGCCUCGGGGCGUAACAGUGUGUUUAUAAUAAUAUUCGUAAAUUACCCCUCAAAGAUAUGGAUGCAAACACAGUGCACCGUUAGAUACAAGAUUUGUUCUCAUUUUUUUUUUAUUAAUGUUCUAAUAAAAAUGUUUAAUUGUUCAAUGGGGCACUUUUCAUUUCAAAGUAUUUUCUAUUUAUCGGUUAUAUUCAAAAUGCCCUAACUGUCCAUUUUCAUACAAUUUUUACAAUUGCAAGAAGUUGAAGCGCUCCGGUCACCAAUGAUCAACGUGACAGUCAAAGUGUUAACGAGUUUCGAUAACGUUGUCUGUAACAGCUAUAAAUAAUAAUUGCCAGCAAUUCCAUGUAUAUUACUCGGCCAAAUUUCCUAUAAUAGGCUGAAUCACGAUUAUCACACCUGUUGUUAUUGUGGUAAAUUGAAAUUGGCUAGGGGUUGUGGUCGAGUGGUUGGCUUAUUUGUGUUAAUGGAGAAGGAUGGAUGGCGCGACAAUCGAAGAAAUUGUGCGGUGGUAGUGGAAAAUACAAGUGUCAUAAACGCAAACCUGUUUCAUGGAUAAUAAUUCGUAAGCUUGCGUGUGAUUUCUUUUAUGAACAAUUUUUACGAAAGUAUUUUAUAAUAAACGUUUGGUCACUAGAUCGGUGUACACGAGACGUCGUUUCUUUCGAGUUUGAAUUUGUCACACCAAUAUCGUGGAAUUUAUAUUUUCUUCUAUCGUUAAUUUUAAUAUCCUAUUGUAAUAAUAUUUUAUAAUUAUAAUAUUUAAUAAUAUUUUAAUAAUAGCCUACCGAUAAAACGUAAAAAUUCUUCAGAAUUUAAAGCGAUAUUCGAGAUUCCUUUGAAACGCCAUACUCCGAAAUCUAAAAUCUAAAAUACAUUUGAAAAUACGUUUCUUCGUGUUUUGCGCUCGGUAAGAGAGCAGAAUAAAGCUGGCUGAAAGGGGAACGUUGAAAAGUAUUUCCAUUUAUUCCCUUCCGUGGAAUCCCAUGGCUUAGGAUAUUUUCAACUACGAAAGAGACCUCUUUGUCGCGAGUAACGAUGCUACACGACGCGAUAAACGUUUCACCAACGACUUUUACCAGCUCCCACGCGAUCGAAUCACCGACAAUUCCCCGGCGGAUCGGACGCGCUUUCUCUUCGCUGUAUUUCCGGUUCCGCUGUUCUGCACGCGAGCAUGCGCGUCUUUCGAGUCCCCUGUAAUUUCGUUACCGAGUCUGCAAACAAUUUCAACCGCACACCGAAUUUCCAGAGAGCCACGAUUGCCAAUCGAAGUUGCUUGGAUGCUGUUUUUUGUGACGAAGUUGCCACAAUUUCCGGCGAAUAUUUCGAACGUGGCUUGAAAACUUUCUAACGCCGACGGUAUAAUUCGAGGAAUUGCAGAGCACGCGGAUACGUACGAAAUUCGACAAAUUGUACGAAACGCGGCGCAAGUGGAUUAAUACAAUUUUAGAUGACGUCAAAGGAACAGGGAAAUGAACAGAGUAAAUUUAUAAAAGGAGAGAAGAAGCAACAGUUCGAAUAACGCCGUUAUUAGCUACUAAGCCGUAAAUUAAAUUUAUCGUGUACAGUAGUUACUUCGUCCAAAAAUUUUAUUACUGGACAUUAUGAACAAAUUAAAUGGGUAAACGAAAAAUCAAUUAAACGGGUAAACGAAAAACCAAUUAAAACGACAGGCUAAUGGGCUGGUAUUGGAUCUAAAAAAAAAAAAAAAGGGAAAAAACGAAAU
Long non-coding RNA from Bombus huntii, 3097 nucleotides. RefSeq lists it as uncharacterized. The record is from RefSeq and is a predicted model, not a curated record. The transcript is spliced from 3 exons. Lineage: Eukaryota; Metazoa; Arthropoda; Insecta; Hymenoptera; Apidae.